RNAcentral lists this ribosomal RNA (502 nucleotides) under uncultured bacterium. Its description in RNAcentral is "bacterial SSU rRNA". It matches the Rfam family "Bacterial small subunit ribosomal RNA", at positions 29 to 524 of the family's 1533-position model. The record is from RNAcentral.
AUUGAACGCUGGCGGCGUGCCUAACACAUGCAAGUCGAGCGGUAACAGGUGUAGCAAUACAUGCUGACGAGCGGCGGACGGGUGAGUAACGCUUGGGAAUCUGCCUGUUAGUGGGGGACAACCCGGGGAAACUCGGGCUAAUACCGCAUACGCACUACGGUGGAAAGCCGGGGACCGCAAGGCCUGGCGCUAACAGAUGAGCCCAAGUCGGAUUAGCUAGUUGGUAGGGUAACGGCCUACCAAGGCGACGAUCCGUAACUGGUCUGAGAGGACGACCAGUCACACCGGAACUGAGACACGGUCCGGACUCCUACGGGAGGCAGCAGUGGGGAAUAUUGGACAAUGGGCGAAAGCCUGAUCCAGCGACGCCGCGUGGGUGAAGAAGGCCUGCGGGUUGUAAAGCCCUUUCGGUGGGAAGAAAAGCCUCGAGUUAACACCUCGGGGUCUUGACGUAACCCAUAGAAGAAGCACCGGCUAACUCUGUGCCAGCAGCCGCAGUAAU